UGGGUUUUUUUGUUUUUUUUUUAGUUUUCUUGUUUAAUUGUAUUUUUAGAAUGUGCCGAGGGCCAAUCAACAGCUGCAGGGCUGCAAAUGGUCCCUGGGCUGCACUUUGGACACUACUGGUCUAAAAAUUCCAGAUGGUGUCCUACCUUGACCCUGGCGGCCCGCUCCACAUCACUGGGCAUGUCCAGCAGUUCAUCCACAUCUAUCUCCAGUUCCGGGAUGGCCUCCUCCUGGGAAAGACAGAAGAAAAGAACACUGAGCAAGCCUUGAAUAAACACUGGAUAGCGCUAGGAACCUCUUUCAGGCAGAAAUAACUCAUCAACUCAGUCAAUUGUGGUCUUUUAGUCCCCCUUUCCUCCUUCCAGUGAGCUACCUGACCGCUAGAGGGCGAAGUGUUUCCAUGAGGAGCGAGGAUGGUCAAACGGGGUGAAGAAGCUGACAUUUGGAGCUCUACGGAGAUUUAUUGAUUCUGAGGGAAAACAUCCAGUAGCUGACAUGGAUUUUACAGGAAUCUCACUCUCGGCCCAAGUUGCCCACACCAGCUGUCUCCGCACCUGCCCAGUGCCACCACCACACACACACACACACACACACCGACCAGCUCCAUGUGUGUCAUAUCAACCAAAUCCUCAUUUUUUAUGUGGAAACUCUUCACCACCAGUCACACACAGUAUCUGUUACACACGUGGAGAUUAAAAAGCCCCGGCUGCAGUGUGUGUAUGUGUGUUUGUGUAAAUGCAGGGUGGCUAAUAUGGAUUACAUUCUGAGCCUGUGCGUGUGCACGUGUGCGCGUGUGUGCACAUGUGUGAUAUGCACACAACAAGAGCAUUUAUAAAGUAGCAGCAAAGUAUUAGGAGACAUUUUCACAGCCAGACAGGCUGGUAUCAGCAUGUGGCCACCAUGUGCUACUAGAAAACAAUAAAAAUGAUGUCCGGAGAACAAAAAGAUGAAAGACUCAAAUCAUUUUUAUGGGCAUCGUGCAAGAAAUCGGAAACUACAGAUGGAAUACACACACAUGUACCACAUACGUGUAGUGGAUUGUUCUUUUCU
Long non-coding RNA from Dunckerocampus dactyliophorus (ringed pipefish), 1050 nucleotides. RefSeq lists it as uncharacterized. The record is from RefSeq and is a predicted model, not a curated record. NCBI's taxonomy places the organism in Eukaryota, Metazoa, Chordata, Actinopteri, Syngnathiformes, Syngnathidae. The transcript has 3 exons.